UACAGUAAUUAGUUACACUACUAGUUAUUUUACUAUUCUGCUCCCACAAAAUUGGCCCCUUUCUCACCAAAAUUCAGACUUAAGACAAUUAAAAUCCAGUUUAGUUUGUUAAAAAUCAAAGUAAUGUUACUGUUUACAUCUUCCAAGCUUGUUUCCUCCACAAUUACCAAAAUGAAUCCAAGGAUGUGAUUUGAUUGUUGGAUUUAAAAUCAGUAAGGAGUGCCAACAAAAGUAAUGUUGUAACUAAUUAUUGUUUGUGGUAAUUGUUAAAUUACUGAAAUGUAUUAGUAAUAAGUUACACUACUAGUUACUGGGGAAAGUAAUGUUAUUACUAGUAAUACCUCACUGCGCAACACUAGUCCUCUAUGACCAUAAAGUAAAUAGUUUUGGGUUGUGGACAAAAGUCAAUUAAUCAAUUAUUUGUCAACUAUUACAUUCAACAGGAACCAGUUCGAUAAUUGAUUAAUAGUUUUGAUUUAGUUUUGAUGUCCAAAUUCUCUCACUUCAGUUAAUGAGAGUAAAAUAAAUAUCUUUAAAUUUCGGACAAAACAAGACAUUUGUGGACAUAUAAAGGAUAUUUUAUGGAUCAAACACCUAAUCAAUUAAAUGAGAAAAUGAUCAGAUUAAUCAAUAAUAAUAAAAAAUAAUCAUUAGCAGUAUCCAGUAUUUUAAUUUUAAUAGAUUUAUUUUAGGGGUAUUUUGUUUCAAGAUACAUUACGUAACCUCUGCACACGACCCUGAGCUACCUGGCGGUCUCACUGAGGGCCGUGUGCAGCUCAUUUGCAUAACACCACCUGGACGUCACGAUGAUGGACUAACAAGGACCUGGAGAUGUACUUUUAUCUGGAUUUAAAGAAGUGUUUUGGGCGUCAGGACGUCUUCAGGCCUGACUUGCAGCCACCAGUUCAGCUUCAUCACCUGGCCAUGAUGAAGGAUCACACUUGGAGGUGCUGGCAUGCAGUUGCUGGAAUAAAAAAGAUAAAUUGA
This is a long non-coding RNA of Dicentrarchus labrax (European seabass), 987 nucleotides long. RefSeq lists it as uncharacterized. The transcript has 2 exons. Lineage: Eukaryota; Metazoa; Chordata; Actinopteri; Moronidae. The record is from RefSeq and is a predicted model, not a curated record.